Molecule: long non-coding RNA, 1292 nt
Filed under: Chrysemys picta bellii (western painted turtle)
Lineage: Eukaryota; Metazoa; Chordata; Testudines; Emydidae
Description: lncRNA (ENSCPBG00000004122.1)
Source: RNAcentral
UUUUUUUUUAAAUAUUUUAUUUUUUUGCUAGUGUUUGUGCGUGUUGGGGGGGGAGGGGGGUUGCCCAGGCUCCCCAGCCGGCUCCCACGUUCCCCAGCGUGGCGAAAGGCAGAGCCCUUCCACUGGGGGAAAGUUCGUGCCGCCGCCUCCUAAAGCCCUGGGCGCAGUGGAAUGUUCCACCAGAGGAAAAUGGAACAACCAGGCCACCCAGUCAGGCUUCUCUGAUGGUGUGAAAGCUGCACGAGCUGAUACUCUUAUUAAAAAGAGAGCAUCGGAACACUGGAGAGCCCUGUGUGUUGAGCAGCUGCCGGGAAGGUACUGUUUGUAAGCCAAAUAGCAUGGUUGCUGGUGUGCGUGUGAUAGGAGCGGUUUGGGCAAGAGAACAGUUGAAAUGAAACCGGUGCUCUGCCAAAUUGCUCAUGAUCCCACAGUUGUGAGAAUGCAACUGUGCUCUCUCAAGAGUGGGUAUUCAAAGGAGAGACUGAGUACAGUUUGAUAUAGGAUCCUGUUGUUCAUAGAUAUGGAAGAAAAGACAUCCGAAGGCCAGGUCUACAGUAGGAGCACUUUGCCAGUAUAGACAUACUGGUGCACUACACUGGCAAAGCACUUCUAGUGUGGCACUGCUGACACCAGCAAAACUGCACUCUUGCUGGCAUAGCGUAUUCCAGCCCCGUCAGUGAAAUAAGCUACAUCUGCAAAAGAGCAGUUUUGCUGGUGCAACUGCAUUUGCAUUAGGGGCUUUUGCUGGCACAGCUACGUCAGUCACAAAUCACACUUCAUCAUACCCCGGACCAACAUGACUAUGCCAGCAAAAAUUUGUAGUGAAGACCUGGCCUAAGACAUUCCAGUGCAGAGCUGUUUGCUACAGUACAUUUCUCCAUUUCUUGGUCUCUUCAGAUCAAGACUGGGUGCCUUUCUGGAAGUUAUGGUUUAGCCAAACACAAGUUGUUAUGCUCAAUAUAGAGUGGGUGAAAUUUAAUGGCUUCUGAUAUACAGGAGAUCAGAUUCAGCAAUUCUCAAACUGUGGGUCGGAACCCCAAAGUGUGUCGCGAUCCCAUUUUAAUGAGGUCGCCAGGGCUGGCUUAGAGUUGCUGGGGCCCUGAGCUGAAGCUCGAGCCCCACUGCUUGGGGCAGAAGUCCAAGGGCUUCAACCCUAGGUGGCAGGGCUAGGUUACAGGCCCCCGGCCUGGGGCUAAAGCCCUUGGGCUUUGGCUUUGCUCAGGCUUUAGUCCCCCCUUUCUGGAGUCAUGUAGUAAUUUUUAUUGUCAGAAGGGGGUCAUGGUGCUAUGAAG